UUGAACGCUGGCGGCAUGCCUUACACAUGCAAGUCGAACGGCAGCACGGGGGCAACCCUGGUGGCGAGUGGCGAACGGGUGAGUAAUACAUCGGAACGUGUCCUGUAGUGGGGGAUAGCCCGGCGAAAGCCGGAUUAAUACCGCAUACGAUCUGUGGAUGAAAGCGGGGGAUCUUCGGACCUCGCGCUACAGGGGCGGCCGAUGGCAGAUUAGCUAGUUGGUGGGGUAAAGGCCUACCAAGGCGACGAUCUGUAGCUG
RNAcentral lists this ribosomal RNA (258 nucleotides) under Burkholderia sp. ISOM453_OTU134. Its description in RNAcentral is "partial 16S ribosomal RNA". It matches the Rfam family "Bacterial small subunit ribosomal RNA", at positions 30 to 289 of the family's 1533-position model. Lineage: Bacteria; Pseudomonadati; Pseudomonadota; Betaproteobacteria; Burkholderiales; Burkholderiaceae. The record is from RNAcentral.